CCUUUAGAGCUGAAAGCAUAGAAAUGAAGUCGUACUAAGUAUGUGCCAUUAUCAGUGAUUGUGAGCUCAUAAGGUGAUGGCUGCCUGAAAAUUCUUGCGGUUUGAUAGAGAGGAGAAGUGUCUACAGGUAAUCCUGAAUCGUUGCUGAUAGAACCACCAUUUCCUGUAGAGAAGUAACCAGAAUUUUCAUCACCAGCGAAAGUCCGGCCAUCAUUAAGACUAACAAUGGAUCCUGAUCCACAGUUUAUGGAGUAAUUAGUAGCUGAAGUGCAAGUAGAUGAAAGAAGUAAAAGAGAAAGGAAUUUUAUGAGAAGGGGAGGAUAAAGAAACUUUGCCAUGGAAAUUUGAUUUUUGCACCAGUGGAAAAAGAGAGAUGUCACAUGUGUAUAGCAGCAACUAAGAGAAAG
RNAcentral lists this unclassified non-coding RNA (407 nucleotides) under Hevea brasiliensis (rubber tree). The record is from RNAcentral. Lineage: Eukaryota; Viridiplantae; Streptophyta; Magnoliopsida; Malpighiales; Euphorbiaceae.